UACGUAGGGGGCGAGCGUUGUCCGAAGUUACUGGGCGUAAAGCGCGCGUAGGCGGCUCUUUAAGUCUGGUGUGAAAGGUUCAGGGCUCAACCCGAACAGUGCACUGGAUACUGGAGAGCUUGAGUGCAGAAGAGGAAAGCGGAAUUCCACGUGUAGCGGUGAAAUGCGUAGAGAUGUGGAGGAAUACCAAUGGCGAAGGCAGCCCCAUGGGUUAACACUGACGCUCAUGCACGAAAGCGUGGGGAGCAAACAGG
Molecule: ribosomal RNA, 254 nt
Filed under: uncultured bacterium
Lineage: Bacteria
Description: partial 16S ribosomal RNA
Rfam family: Bacterial small subunit ribosomal RNA
Source: RNAcentral